This 73-nucleotide transfer RNA is filed under the name Anaerolineae bacterium SM23_84. RNAcentral's name for it is "tRNA-Val". It matches the Rfam family "tRNA". From Rfam's summary of the family: Transfer RNA (tRNA) molecules are approximately 80 nucleotides in length. Their secondary structure includes four short double-helical elements and three loops (D, anti-codon, and T loops). Lineage: Bacteria; Bacillati; Chloroflexota; Anaerolineae. RNAcentral also lists the same sequence under 2 other names. The record is from RNAcentral.
GGGCGAAUAGCUCAGUUGGGAGAGCAUCUGACUUACAUUCAGAAGGUCACAGGUUCGAGCCCUGUUUCGCCCA